Phodopus roborovskii (desert hamster) is the source of this 298-nucleotide long non-coding RNA. RefSeq lists it as uncharacterized. The record is from RefSeq and is a predicted model, not a curated record. NCBI's taxonomy places the organism in Eukaryota, Metazoa, Chordata, Mammalia, Rodentia, Cricetidae. The transcript is spliced from 2 exons.
GCUACAUGGUAUCCGGGGCCUGCUCACGCGAGAGAGCGCAUGCAAAGGCUCAAGGAGACGCGAGCAACGAAUGGUUAAGGGACCGGGAGCCGACCUGGCCGGGAAAAGGUAGCAUCUACCUCCCCGGGCCUGCCGCACUCGUCUCCGGGCAGGUGGCCUUUGCAGUUGAGCUGCAGCAUAAGUUCUUCUGAGCCUGCAGCCUGAAGACUUUGGACUUAACAGCCAGCCUCUGUGAGAGAAGUUGGGCUCAUUGGCUGUAUAACAAACACGUUAUAAUAAACAUCUUCAUUUAGAAGCA